AUUGCUGGUGCUUUCAGCCGUGCCUGGUGGCGCUGGAAUCACAAGUAUGUGUUCCCGAAGCGUGCUGGCAUUGCACCCUUCUUCCAGUUGACCGUGGCCAGCAUGGCAUUCUUCUACGCAAUCAACUACGGCAAGUUGAAACAGCACAGGAACUACAA
Molecule: long non-coding RNA, 158 nt
Organism: Drosophila busckii
Lineage: Eukaryota; Metazoa; Arthropoda; Insecta; Diptera; Drosophilidae
Rfam family: Sphinx conserved region 2
Source: Rfam